GUGAGGAAUAUUGGACAAUGGGCGCAAGCCUGAUCCAGCCAUGCCGCGUGCAGGAAGACGCAUCUAUGGUGUGUAAACUGCUUUUGUACGGGAAGAAACACUCCCUCGUGAGGGAGCUUGACGGUACCGUAAGAAUAAGGAUCGGCUAACUCCGUGCCAGCAGCCGCGGUAAUACGGAGGAUCCAAGCGUUAUCCGGAAUCAUUGGGUUUAAAGGGUCCGUAGGCGGUUUAAUAAGUCAGUGGUGAAAGCCCAUCGCUCAACGAUGGAACGGCCAUUGAUACUGUUAGACUUGAAUUACAAGGAAGUAACUAGAAUAUGUAGUGUAGCGGUGAAAUGCUUAGAUAUUACAUGGAAUACCAAUUGCGAAGGAAGGUUACUACUUGUGGAUUGACGCUGAUGGACGAAAGCGUGGGGAGCGAACAGGAUUAGAUACCCUAGUAGUCC
Molecule: ribosomal RNA, 445 nt
Filed under: uncultured bacterium
Lineage: Bacteria
Description: partial 16S ribosomal RNA
Rfam family: Bacterial small subunit ribosomal RNA
Source: RNAcentral